This 72-nucleotide transfer RNA is filed under the name Ictidomys tridecemlineatus (thirteen-lined ground squirrel). RNAcentral describes it as "Spermophilus tridecemlineatus (thirteen-lined ground squirrel) tRNA". It matches the Rfam family "tRNA". Rfam says of the family: Transfer RNA (tRNA) molecules are approximately 80 nucleotides in length. Lineage: Eukaryota; Metazoa; Chordata; Mammalia; Rodentia; Sciuridae. The record is from Rfam by way of RNAcentral.
AGGGAUGCAGUUCAGUGGAAGAGUGCUUGCCUAGAAUGCACAAAGACCUGGGUUCCAUCCUCAGCAACCCUA